ACAGCCCAAUCCAGCGGAAACGACACUAACAAUCCUUCGGGUGCGUUAAUGGGCGUCGAGCGGCGGACGGGUGAGUAAUGCCUAGGAAAUUGCCUUGAUGUGGGGGAUAACCAUUGGAAACGAUGGCUAAUACCGCAUGAUGCCUACGGGCCAAAGAGGGGGACCUUCGGGCCUCUCGCGUCAAGAUAUGCCUAGGUGGGAUUAGCUAGUUGGUGAGGUAAUGGCUCACCAAGGCGACGAUCCCUAGCUGGUCUGAGAGGAUGAUCAGCCACACUGGAACUGAGACACGGUCCAGACUCCUACGGGAGGCAGCAGUGGGGAAUAUUGCACAAUGGGCGAAAGCCUGAUGCAGCCAUGCCGCGUGUAUGAAGAAGGCCUUCGGGUUGUAAAGUACUUUCAGUUGUGAGGAAGGGUGUGUAGUUAAUAGCUGCGCAUCUUGACGUUAGCAACAGAAGAAGCACCGGCUAACUCCGUGCCAGCAGCCGCGGUAAUACGGAGGGUGCGAGCGUUAAUCGGAAUUACUGGGCGUAAAGCGCAUGCAAGUGGUUCAUUAAGUCAGAUGUGAAAGCCCGGGGCUCAACCUCGGAACUGCAUUUGAAACUGGUGAACUACAGUACUGUAGAGGGGGGUAGAAUUUCA
RNAcentral lists this ribosomal RNA (639 nucleotides) under Vibrio tasmaniensis. Its description in RNAcentral is "bacterial SSU rRNA". It matches the Rfam family "Bacterial small subunit ribosomal RNA", at positions 53 to 671 of the family's 1533-position model. The record is from RNAcentral. Lineage: Bacteria; Pseudomonadati; Pseudomonadota; Gammaproteobacteria; Vibrionales; Vibrionaceae.